Molecule: long non-coding RNA, 2106 nt
Filed under: Capsicum annuum
Lineage: Eukaryota; Viridiplantae; Streptophyta; Magnoliopsida; Solanales; Solanaceae
Description: long non-coding RNA (CANN_LNC008556)
Source: RNAcentral
CUCUCUCUCUUAACUCACGCCUUUUCUCUUUCUUCUCUAGAGACCUCCGCCAGAGAAUGUCACUACCAUGUCCAAACUACCCCUCUCCUCUUUUCUCCCUCAUUCAAGAAAAAAUAGAACCCCAUUAAUUUUUGGCAUUGUUGAAAAAUCCAAACUUCGGUGACUACGAACUCCAAACCCUCUUUCCUUUCCUUUUGAUCAAGUUUUGCCUUUAAUGGAGAACAUCAAAUAUCUCAGAUGAACCAGAAAUAACAACAAACUACUACGUCCAGACCAACCCCUUUUCCUUCUAUUUUUUUCACUGAACAACUCUACCAUAUAUCUUGCUCAAGUUCCGCCAUUAAUGGCGAACUUCGAGCUCAAAGGAAUAGUUCUACAAAGGAGAAAAAUAAGGCAGCAACUCCACCAGCAACCUCUAAGCUUCAGCAAAUCCACAAAAACAACACAAUAACUCAGCAACCUUUGAAUCCGGUGAGUCACAAGAUCGGGUGAGUGACGACAACGACCUCGCGAUUCAAAUAUGGUUGGAAUGGUUGUCGCCGAUAAACAUUCAUCUUCUCUGAUAACCUUACUAUUCACUUUGACAAAUUAAAACUCUAAAUGUAUUGUUAGUGGAUAGUAAGACUUAGAUCUUUCCUUUUCUUCGUUUUAUUUGGUGAUUUUUGGAGUUCGUCAUUAUUAUACAUAUUUGUGUUUGUGUUGUGUAACUUGCGUUUAUGUUUUGUCUCUUAGACAAUUUUAUUCAUCACUAUGAUCAAGUUGUCUGCAAACUUUAUUAAUGAUGUCUUGAUUAUUUUUUGUUAUUAUACUAAUGUUACAAAUUUUAUUAUUCUUAUAACCUUUUAUUGAAGUUACUUUUAUUCUUCUUUGUUACUUUGUUGAUGUUGCUAUUUUGUAUGGAUUAUGACUUGAUUAUUCUAGGAUUCUAUGCUAAUGGUGCUAGUUUUAUUAUUCUCAUUUAUUUGUUAUUAAUUAUUUAUUGCUACAUUGUUGAUGUUGUUAUUUUAAUUAUUUGUUAUCAAUGUUUUGGUUGAUUAUUCAUUGCGACUUUGUUAAUGACUAAUUUAGUGAUUAUUUUCGAUACUUUUACAUUGACAAAGAAUGUUAAUUACUAGUUUGGCCAAUGAAGAAAUUUUUCGUCUAUUUUCGAGGCCUCCAGAAAUAAGAAGAUGAACAUUACGUAUAUAAAUACGUAAAAACAAAAAAAAUUGAGCGAUGACAAAAAUCUUAAAAUGUUUAAAAUUUUAUCCGAGCCCGCUUGUUAAAGAAAAUUAUAUUCUUUAUGAAUAUAUGCACACAUGACUUCUCAAUUCAUUUGAUAAUUAUUUAUUCGUUAUUAGAAGUGUUUAUACAAGUUAUCGAGAAUACUUAUCAGAUAAAAAGAAGAUUUUUAAAUUUUGUGUUUGUAUUUUUUAUUCUUGCACUUGUAUAAAUAUCAGUCAUAGUGAAAAUUUUAUUUUGGAACGUUGGGCGGGGAUAUUCUUUAUUUACGCAAUCUUCACCGAGUGUUUAGACAAAUUUAGGCCGUUACUAUUUAUAUAAAAGAAUUAAAUUGAUUUAGAUAUUAAUUGAAUAAUUCACACUUUUUACACUAAAUAUUACGUAAUCUUCUCUUUAAAACAAUUUUUUCUUUAUUCAAUCUUUUCAUUUUUAAUACAUAUUCUCAUGCACUUUCGUUUAUCUUCAUACACUUUUUAUAUACAUAUACAAUAAAAUAUGUAAUUUACACAUUUUUUAUAUAUAAAUUUUUUAUAUUAUCUUAAUACACAUUUUAUAUUUGUAUUUACAAAAAUUGAUUUUUUUCCUCGUUUAAUAAACCUAAGUCUGGCCGGAAAUCACAUUUGUGAAUUUUGAAAGGUGCUUAACCCUUUUGUUCAAAAUAAUUUGAACCCUUACCUAGAAUUUAAAUUGGCUCGUAGAUUAAAAACACAUCAUACAUGUUAAUAAAUAAAUAAGUUUCCUCAUUUUCUUAAAAAUUAGAUGGCGCUCUGUAUGGAGUUAAUUCUUUUUGAGUCCAUAAUGUUAUGCUUGUUUUGACCUUAGGCAAAAAUCGGGUAUGACGGUUUGGUGACUCAGCUGGAGAUUAAAGGUUCUAACCAUUACAAA